GGGAUUGUAGUUCAGUGGUAGAACGUCUUCUUGUGGCGAAGAAAACCUUGGUUCAAUUCUAGGCAUUCCUA
RNAcentral lists this transfer RNA (71 nucleotides) under Hymenobacter sp. RNAcentral's name for it is "tRNA-His". It matches the Rfam family "tRNA". From Rfam's summary of the family: Transfer RNA (tRNA) molecules are approximately 80 nucleotides in length. Lineage: Bacteria; Pseudomonadati; Bacteroidota; Cytophagia; Cytophagales; Hymenobacteraceae. The record is from RNAcentral.